This 480-nucleotide ribosomal RNA is filed under the name uncultured bacterium. Its description in RNAcentral is "partial 16S ribosomal RNA". It matches the Rfam family "Bacterial small subunit ribosomal RNA", at positions 28 to 523 of the family's 1533-position model. The record is from RNAcentral.
GACAAACGCUGGCGGCGUGCCUAAUACAUGCAAGUCGAACGACGAAAGCCUUCGGGCAAGUAAGAGUGGCGCACGGGCGAGGAACACGUAGAUAAUCUGCCCUUCAGUGGGGAAUAACUCUCCGAAAGGAGUGCUAAUACCGCAUAAGACCACAAGCUCUGCGGAGCAAGGGGUUAAAGGAUUGAUUCGCUGAAGGAUGGGUCUGCGUCCGAUUAGCUAGUUGGUGAGGUAAUGGCUUACCAAGGCAAUGAUCGGUAGAUGGUCUGAGAGGAUGAUCAGCCGCACUGGAACUGAGACACGGUCCAGACUCCUACGGGAGGCAGCAGUAGGGAAUAUUGCAAAAGGGGGGAAACCCUGAUGCAGCAACGCCGCGUGAGUGAUGAAGGCUCUAGGGUCGUAAAGCUCUGUCGUAUGGGAAGAAAAAAAUGUCGGUACCAUACAAGAAAGGACCGGCCAACUUCGUGCCAGCCGCCGCCGUAA